AAUCUUGCACAAUGGGGGAAACCCUGAUGCAGCGACGCCGCGUGAGCGAUGAAGACCUUAGGUGUGUAAAGCUCUUUCGGCAGGAACGAUAAUGACGGUACCUGCAGAAGAAGCUGCGGCUCACUACGUGUCAGCAGCCGCGGUAAUACGUAGGCUGCGAGCGUUGUUCGGAAUUACUGGGCGUAAAGAGUGCGUAGGCGGUGCUCUAAGUUUGGUGUGAAAUCUCCCGGCUCAACUGGGAGGGUGCGCCGAAGACUGGAGUGCUUGAGUGUGGGAGAGGAAAGCGGAAUUCCUGGUGUAGCGGUGAAAUGCGUAGAUAUCAGGAGGAACACCGGUGGUGUAGACGGCUUUCUGGACCACUACUGACGCUGAGGCACGAAAGCGUGGGGAGCAAACAGG
RNAcentral lists this ribosomal RNA (399 nucleotides) under uncultured bacterium. Its description in RNAcentral is "partial 16S ribosomal RNA". It matches the Rfam family "Bacterial small subunit ribosomal RNA", at positions 360 to 776 of the family's 1533-position model. The record is from RNAcentral.